Drosophila melanogaster (fruit fly) is the source of this 22-nucleotide non-coding RNA. NCBI's taxonomy places the organism in Eukaryota, Metazoa, Arthropoda, Insecta, Diptera, Drosophilidae. The record is from Ensembl.
UGUACAAUACGAAUAUUUAGGC